GCCGGGUGCGGUGGCGCACCCCUGUAAUUCCAGUGGUUUGGGAGGCUGAGGCAGGAGUAUUGCCCCAGCAACUUAGUGAAGUCCUAAGCAACUUAGGAAACCCCUGUCUCAA
RNAcentral lists this small RNA (112 nucleotides) under Marmota monax (woodchuck). The record is from RNAcentral. Lineage: Eukaryota; Metazoa; Chordata; Mammalia; Rodentia; Sciuridae.